GAUGAACGCUGGCGGCGUGCCUAAUACAUGCAAGUCGAGCGAACAGACGAGGAGCUUGCUCCUCUGACGUUAGCGGCGGACGGGUGAGUAACACAUGGAUAACCUACCUAUAAGACUGGGAUAACUUCGGGAAACCGGAGCUAAUACCGGAUAAUAUAUUGAACCGCAUGGUUCAAUAGUGAAAGACGGUUUUGCUGUCACUUAUAGAUGGAUCCGCGCCGCAUUAGCUAGUUGGUAAGGUAACGGCUUACCAAGGCGACGAUGCGUAGCCGACCUGAGAGGGUGAUCGGCCACACUGGAACUGAGACACGGUCCAGACUCCUACGGGAGGCAGCAGUAGGGAAUCUUCCGCAAUGGGCGAAAGCCUGACGGAGCAACGCCGCGUGAGUGAUGAAGGUCUUCGGAUCGUAAAACUCUGUUAUUAGGGAAGAACAAGUGUGUAAGUAACUAUGCACGUCUUGACGGUACCUAAUCAGAAAGCCACGGCUAACUACGUG
RNAcentral lists this ribosomal RNA (497 nucleotides) under uncultured bacterium. RNAcentral describes it as "partial 16S ribosomal RNA". It matches the Rfam family "Bacterial small subunit ribosomal RNA", at positions 28 to 507 of the family's 1533-position model. The record is from RNAcentral.